CCCAGGAUCACAUCAACAGACGCUGGAAAGCGCUCGACACAGUCCAACCCCCAUGGGUGGUGCAGGCCCUGGACGCCCUCGGGGGAGGAACAGACCUUCACAUGGAAACUGGGGCUGAAGACCCGGGUCUGUGGGCGUCCAGCGGACACGAUCCUCCGCGCAGGGAGAGCAAAAGCUCCCCGAGAGGCGACGGUCAGAUCCUGAAUGGCCCCGCGGAGGCGGGACGCAGGGGAACAGAUUCACAAAGGCUGCGAGGAGACAAUCGAAGCUCGAGAAGGAAGAAGACACUAAAGGCCACACCCAGGGGAGAAAGAGCUGGACAUUCCACAUUCACGCGGAGGAGGGAGCUUGUCCCUGGACACAUAACUGAAAAUCCACAGACUCAUGCGUCCCCGUGAAAUACACCAGAACCUCACAGAAAUGCAGCAAAGUUUGAAUAAAGUUUAUC
Talpa occidentalis (Iberian mole) is the source of this 448-nucleotide long non-coding RNA. RefSeq lists it as uncharacterized. Lineage: Eukaryota; Metazoa; Chordata; Mammalia; Eulipotyphla; Talpidae. The record is from RefSeq and is a predicted model, not a curated record. The transcript is spliced from 3 exons.